RNAcentral lists this transfer RNA (73 nucleotides) under Ictidomys tridecemlineatus (thirteen-lined ground squirrel). RNAcentral's name for it is "Spermophilus tridecemlineatus (thirteen-lined ground squirrel) tRNA". It matches the Rfam family "tRNA". Rfam says of the family: Transfer RNA (tRNA) molecules are approximately 80 nucleotides in length. Their secondary structure includes four short double-helical elements and three loops (D, anti-codon, and T loops). Lineage: Eukaryota; Metazoa; Chordata; Mammalia; Rodentia; Sciuridae. The record is from Rfam by way of RNAcentral.
AGGGUUGUGGCUCAGUGGUAGAGCACUCGCCUGGCAUGUGCGAGGCCCCUGGGUUCGAUCCUCAGCACCACAU